Molecule: non-coding RNA, 4427 nt
Organism: Nylanderia fulva
Lineage: Eukaryota; Metazoa; Arthropoda; Insecta; Hymenoptera; Formicidae
Source: RefSeq, a predicted model, not a curated record
AGGACCACGAGGGAAGAGGAAGCGCCGCCGCCGCCGCUUCUCGUCGUCGCGCGAGUCGACGCGACGCGACGACGAGCGAGACCCGUCCGUCCGUCGAGGGGCUUUAGUCCGCGUCCGUACGUCGACCGAAACACGCGAUCCCCCAACGUCACUCUCCCGACCCGGUGUUAGUAGUGCGCGCGGCUCCCUUUUCCUUCCGGCUCCUGUCGCUCAAUCAUCACGUCCUUUGCCAAGGGAGGACCUUAUCGCUUAGUUCUACCGCGUCGAAUAAUAGAGUUCUCUUUCGCUCUCUUUUACUCUUUUUACCCUCUCGUCUCUCAUCCUCUCUCGAGCCGGUUAUUGGAGAAAACUCUUUGUUCGGCCUUCUUCGAGAGAUGCUUCGCGAUCCUUUCUGAGAUAGACGGAAGAGAGGAUGUCCCGUGCGCGCGGGAGGAGGAUUAAGAACGCCGGAAAUUCGGGAUGUAAUAUCCGGCGGCCCUAGUUACACGUACGGUGUGUGCGCGGCUUUCCUGCCUUCGAAGUCGGAGCAGCUCCGAUAUAAGUCAAAGUGAAGGAGGAGAUCUCGCAGGAUUUUCAAUCGUUCGGGAGCCUACUCAACGGAGAGUGAUUGUCGCCCGAGAAAAGCACAGGGAAUCGUUGCCAAAUUCGUCACCCACCAGCAUCACUUCGCGGAAUCGUCUCUCUUGUAAACGCUCUCUUGAAACAUGCGUUAAGGAAACUUGAGGACACUCUCGCCGGCGAGAAACUAUUCGAAUUUUUGACGGGGAUCUCGCGAGUUUAGAGAAACGAAGUUGGCGACAGGGAGGAGACGUCAUGAAGAGACUCGCCUUCGUUCGCGGCAGGAAGUGAUCUUCGGAGAAAACGAGGAAGCGAAGGGAUAUUCUCGGCGCGUUGGGCCAGACGAGUCGGGCCGGCGACGGGCCCGAUCGGUGUGAUGGUCUCAGGGUGGUGCCCUUGCGUGCCACUAGGGCGUCGGCAAUCGUCGGCCCAGCAACAACAGCAGCAGCAGCAGCAGCCGCCGUCGUCGUCAUCCAGGACGCCGUUCACCGUCAGCGGCGCGACCGAUCGCGCGGACAUGGUGCAGAUGUUCUACUACGAGAACCGCGGCAAGUGUUGCAAGAAACUGCUGAGAUACAACGGAUACCCGAAUAAGGUCCUUUUGUUCCCGAGGAAGGCUGGGCGAGAAGCGCGAGUAGUUCCUACUGGACCUUGACGCCAUUCUGGUGGAGUCGGAGUCGGUGCAAGGUCGUCGAAGUCGCUGGAACAAGAAGGUACAGUACUCAAGCGAAGAUGGUAGAUACGGGCACGGGCACGCUUUAUAUUAUCGGCUCAUUCAAGAGGAUGACAACCGACCCAGAUUUUAAGCUGUACCUGACAUCGAACGUCUCGUCGAGCGACUUCAACAUGGGUUACAGUAUGACAGGCACGCUGGAACGCGGCUGCAAGAAGACCAAUUCUUUCCAGAUGACCCACUUCGCGGUGAUACGGCGACGGGACUACGAGAAGGCGUACGAGGACCCGAAUCCCACCUAGUGUCCGUCCACACCCACGCUUUCCGAGUGUGGGGACUGCGAGCAUUACACAUAGUUGGGAAGGCAAGGGGCCGUCGAGAGAAGGAGGACAAGAUGCACUUCCGCAUGUAUGUGUAUCGCGCCAACCCAUAAAUGCUGGGCAAGAAGUUGCUCUUCGGCGCGAGAUCGAUCGCGAAUUUCCCAGAAAUCCCGAAACUCCUGGCGGGUCGGUAAACGGCCUCCACGAUAUAUGACGGAAAUCUUUCUCCACUUGCGCAGAAAUACUCGUGUAACAUUAGAUCGCUAAAUAAUUGUCUGUGCGUUGAGAAAUAUUUUUAUCAUUAUUUCUUAUUUUUGCUUCGAAAGGAAACGUAGUAGAGAAAUAAGGCGUGGACAGAAAAAUUGCAGACAUAGAAACAAGCAAGAUGAAGAAAAGAAGUAAGAAUUAAGAGAGUAAAAAAGUAAACACUGCAAUUAGAACGGAAUCUAUAUUUCUCUUGUGUGAGACAUCAUGAGGAUGGAAGAUAAUCAAAAUAAGGUGUAAAAGGGGGAAGCUUUAAUUCGCGCAAAAUCAACAUUAGCUCGUGGUAAUAAGAGAUUACAGAGAUGAAAGGUGAAAGAAAAAUAUCAAGAUAGAGUAGAUUGUAAGGAGAGAAGGAUAUCAAGAGCUUUAAUUUACGCAAAAUAAAAAUAUUCCUCUUUCACGCAAGAUUUCUCUUCUACGAAAAAUAAACCCUUCAUAAAAAAAUCUCUCGGCAAACAAAUUCUCGAACAAAAUGUUCCGCUUAUGCAUUAUGCAUUAGACUUUUAUAACUUUUAUUUGUUUACCGAAGCUUACGUCAAGAUUCAAUUAGCGGUCUAAUGGAUUACACUGGUAUCUCUGUUAUCUCGAAUUCUCAAGGCACGUCAUUUUUGCACGUCAACGAGUCCGAGAAUUAAACGAGACCUGACAGCGACCUGGAAACGAAACAGCGGCAUCACGUUUUGAGAAGGUAAGAAGAAAGAUCAAGGAAGAUCGGAUCGUUAUAUUAUUAUCCGCGGAGAAACGAAAUACUACCAAAGCCGAGCGUGUGACGGCCCUGCGCGACAGAGCCAAACGUCCAAAAAAAUAGUCCUUAAUUUAGAUCGAAUUAAUUAUAGCUCUUAAUGAAAAUCGGCGAACGAUUGCGUAUACCUGUAUAAGCGAGAUGAAGAGUAUUACAAAGAGGGGCGAGACGACGUUGAUCGGGAAAAUGCGGGAACCGUUUUACCAAAGUACUAGCACGUAAGUCACUUGCAACUUUCCGCCACGCGAUAACCCGAGAUAACGUGGCAAUGCAAUCUCCUUCAAUCUAACAAGGUACACUGCUUCUCAUCGAUUGACGCCAUCGAUGCCGCCGCCGCCGCCGCCGCUUCGUCGCGAUUAAUAAGUGAUUAGCGAUUAAGGCUUUUUCUCGGUGAAUUUUCACGGCGACUCAGCUGUUUAGGGUAGAAUUAUAUGUGCCAAUACAAAGCCAUCGUUGACGAGCACUGUACCUGACAAUUGCUACGAGUCAGAGCGCAAGAACGCGCAAUAUUGAAAGCCUGAACCGGACAAGAAACGAUAUUUCCAGCCCCAUUUCACGAUUAGACUCGUAGACAUAUGUGGAGUCCAAAAGACGUUUAAACGAAAUCGAGAGAAAAAAGAAUUAAAAUGUCAAUUUUUUUGCGAUUUUUUACGAUAUUGUCAAUUGACUUUCUGAAAUGACAAAUUGCCCAAUUUUUUGGUAUAACAAUUUAAUUUUUCGUUAUAUAAUAUAUAAAUUCCCAUAAAUAAAAACAAGAAUUAAUCAGAAUAUUUUAUUAACGAUAUAUUUGUCCUGCCUCUUCGAUAUUUAUAAAAUAUAUAAAAAAAAAAUUGGUCUCUCAAAUUUUUGAAUAUAUAUAUAUAUACAGAUUAAUUCCUCCGAAUAGAUUAAGAAUUCACUUGAUUUAUAUAGCUUUAGUUACAUCAAUUGCUAUAAAAUAUAUAAAAAAAAUUGGUCUCUCAAAUUUUUGAAUAUAUAUAUACAGAUUAAUUCCUUCGAAUAGAUUAAGAAUUCACUUGAUUUAUAUAGCUUUAGUUACAUCAAUUGCUUUAUUCGAUCGUAUCUCUGCCCAUGGACAGUUAUUGCAUGUCGAGUUUGAUGGUUCGCCGGGGUGGAAAAUUUCAUAUGCCGGGCCCCCGUGUCAGAACGCCGGUUAUAAAUAUCGUUUCCCCGGCCCAGGCUUUAUAAGCAGUAUAUAGCUAUAUAGCGUGUAGCCGGCUUACAAGGUAUUUCAAAGCUUGUUACGCGCCCCUUUCUUUGAGCCAUCGCCGACGGACGUCGCUCAAGGAAGGAAGAAUGAGAGAAUGAGAGCUUCGCUGCACUGACCCCGGACACACAAAGCGCGAGAGAUAUCUCUCUCUUAUCUUACGUUACCUUACAUACGGGAUCGUCGUGAGCCGGUGAUGUAACGCAUAACACGAUACUUAUUUUUGCUAAAGAGUAGAAAGUCGCUCACACCAGUCGCACGAUGCAUCCCGAUGAGAUCGAAGUCAGUGCUCGCCGAUCGUUCGUUCGGGAGAAAAAAAGAAGUGGCGAGUCGAGAAAAAAAGGCGGGAAGAAGAGCUCGUCAUUGAUCAAAUGUGACAAAUUAGAGAUUCGCGCAAAACGAGAGUCUUUCCAUAUUAUAUACGAGAUUGAUUUGUAUAUUAGCGAGUAGAGAUGAAUUUAUGUCGCGUUUAAACAAUGUGAUUAUUGUUACUUUUACUGUAGCCCUUUUCGUGAAUAUUCGGCAAUAUUGUCAAUGUUAUCGAUGUCACAUCAUAUAAUUCGAAUCGCUCUUCUAUAUGAUACAUAAACGUUAUCUAACAGCAGAAACAUUUCAAACAUAAAUUAUUGAAUAUAAGUAUAUUUAUAUGUUGAAAUAGAAAUC